Molecule: long non-coding RNA, 700 nt
Filed under: Equus asinus (donkey)
Lineage: Eukaryota; Metazoa; Chordata; Mammalia; Perissodactyla; Equidae
Description: lncRNA (ENSEASG00005032815.1)
Source: RNAcentral
CUGGCUACCAUGUUAGGAGGACACUCAAGCCGCCCUAUGGAGAGGUCCAUGUGGUGAGAAGUUAAGGCUUCCUGCCAACAAUCAGUGUGGAACUGAGUCCUCUAGCCAACAGCCAUAAGGAACCUCACUAGCUCUUCUGACUGCAAACACCAUUAGGAGUGAAUGUGGCAACAGCGGUGCCCCAUGCUGGUGAGGGAGUGGUGGAAAUGGCGGUCUUAUACAUUGCUGGCAGGAGAGCAAAUUGAUGCAAAAUGGAGACUUUUGUCAAAACAACAAGCUCACUGGAUGCGGUGUGGAGAACCGAUUAGACGAAUUUCAGGGUUACCUCCUGUGGGUCUGGAACUGGCCUGAGAUGAGCUGCUGAAGGGACAGAUGUACCUGCACAGAACUGGCCUCUCGUCAAGACUUAAAAGUCUGAAGUGUUACUUUGUAACCAGGAGUCCAAGAUUGUUACAAGAAUGGCUCCCACUCAAUCGGCUUUCCAGUCUCCAGCCUGGGUGCAGAGCCCUCCCACACUGAUGGCCAUGUGACUUGCUUUGACCAAUGGCACAUGAGGAAACAUGUUACAAGCAGAGAAUUAAAAAAUGCUUGGACGUGAGGCUUGCCCUCUCUUGCUCCCUGAGAAUGCCGUAUGAGGAAGCCUGAGCUAGCCCACUGGAGGCGAAGGAGCAGAGAGUCGUAGCCCAGCUGAGGCCUCCUA